Molecule: long non-coding RNA, 1254 nt
Organism: Pieris brassicae (large cabbage white)
Lineage: Eukaryota; Metazoa; Arthropoda; Insecta; Lepidoptera; Pieridae
Exons: 3
Source: RefSeq, a predicted model, not a curated record
UGACUCCUGCUUGUUGCGUUAACAUUUUGCUGUAGUUCAUUAUGUAUUUUAUCCUAUGAUGAUACCCUAGUAAGCACGUCGAGUCGAGCUUUUAGUUUCUCUGGCAUACUGUUAGGGUUCUGCACUCGGUUGUACAGUGUAAAUUGGUGUUUUAAGACUUCGAAAGGACGCUAUUUCGUGGUAUUUUUGUGAUUUCGGUCACAAUGCCUAAACGAAGUGUGUUUGGUUGUUCACCUAGUGAUGACAGCUUUCAUUCAUUUCCAAACCCUAAGAGAUUCCGUCACCAAUUGAAUUCUUGGGUUAAUCGUACUGGUGAUUUUGGAUUGACUAAUGAAGAGAUUUUCAAAAAGAAAAAUAUUUGUGAUGUUUGUGUAGGUAAAAACAUGCCGAAGUGCAACUGCCCCUUUCGCUAUGUGUUUGUUUAGCUAUAGAGGUCAUUGCUGUCGCAACUUUACUCUACUCUAUACUUUCAUAAACUCAUCAUCUACUUCUGCUGUAACCACUCAACAGAAUGUUAAGUACAACAUGAAAAGAUCAUCAAAAAGGCAUUCAGAAUAUGCUGUUAUAAUGCUGGACCAUAGUUAUUGCAAGAAAAGAUCUUCAAAAGCUUCGGAAAGAACGGCGCCGACCAAAUUGACAGUAAAUAGGUAUAGCACUUACCAAAAACAAAAUUGUAACUUGAGAAGAGAAAUCUACAGACUGCAAAAAAGUGGUCAUUCAUUUAAGGCGCGGCUUGCAAAAGUCGAAAAACUGGAUGCCAACACUACUUUUCAAAAAGUAGUUAAAGGUAUGAUGUUACAAGCCAAAUUGUUUACCGCCAUGCAGAUGCAAACAGCGAAAAAACAAAAGGGUCGUCGUUUUUGUUUGGAAGAAAAAGUAUUGUCCUUGUCUUUGUAUAAGAGUCCCAAGCAUUGAUGGCAAAAUAUUUUACAUUGCCAUCAGCAAAAUGUUUAAAAAGAUGAAUUUCUGAAAUAAUACUAAAGCCGGGCAUCAAUACAAUCAUUUAUGAAAAAUUUAAAAAAGUUGUGGAUGAUUUGCCGCACAGAUAAACUGUGCACGUUAAUCUUUGACGAGAUGUCAUUUACGCCGCAAGUGCCGACAAAUUAAAAGGAUUCGCAACUCACGGAAAGGAGGCCUAAGUUAACUUUUUUUGAACAAUUAUUCCCAUUUAUGAUGUGCCACAUUUAUUAAAAGGGCUGAGGAAUAACCUUCUUACCAAAGAUUUGGUUUAUAUUGACCCCGAACACCAAAAAC